AGCUGAGCUGAUCACUGGAGGUAGUCAGUCGUAGGGGAGCCGCAGCCUCCUUCUUGUACAACUCACAAAUUGAGAACAGCUGAAAAAUUUCUGAGCAGAUGGCCUCGUGAAAAGAAAUGGGCAUCUAGUGUCACCUCGAAUAGUCAUCUGGAAGCUUAGUGACUUUUGCAGCAGAGGUGUGAAGAUCCCUUAUCUUUCACCCUACAGCAUCACAAGAAACAACUGUGCUUAAUGUUGAGAGUGGGAACGUGAAAUCAAGGAAGGAGUCAGAGAGGUAGUGUCUUACGCCUUGGCAGGUGGGCAAGAGUUCCAUAGAUGGAAAGGUAGGAAAGGAUAUGAAAAUCCUGAAAAGGGUGAUUCGGGGUUGUUGAAUGAAUUGCUGGGACCAUGGCUGUGAUGCUGCUGAGAGUUACACUGUGCUCUUCCCAAAACGCGUGCAACAGUAACCGUCUUGCCAAGAUUGCGAGUGCCAACUUGGGGUCCUUCACACUGUGCCCAGCAAGUACUCUCUGAUCCCACAGCUCACAUGAGUCUCCUGCAUCCCCGCUCGGAGGUUUCUUCAUGUCGACGUCUAAGAGCAAAGGGAAACUCACAUCGACCUCUGGGGAUGGGAGGAGUGAAGCAUGGAAGGCUUCCUGGAAGAGGAUGGCACGGAGCUAGGCUUGAAGAGCCUGAGUGAUCAAGAUUUCCAAAGUCUGAGAAGACAGGAAACUAAGGAAAAGAUACGUGAAAAGCCUCGAAGCAGAGCUAGGCGUUGAGGGAUGGACAUAGAAGAAGAAAGAAAGAACAAGAAGAGCAAAGAUUUCAGUCAAUAAGCAGAGCCUUGGGACAUGAGCGGGGUUUGCACUCUUGGAGCUGGAGCGAGUGGCCAGUCUCGCUGUCAAUCGUCGCAGACCCGCCAAUGACGACGUGUGAAGGCGGGGCCAAAGGAACGCUGUCCAGGGAAGCGAAACGCUUGACCGGGCUCUUUAAAACGUGGAUUGUGCAGCGCGGCUUCCGUGGACCGUUCCCCUCCGGGAUGGGGGAACAUGGCGGCUCCGUCUCCUGCUGUCCCCAAAGUCUCACACAAGGUGCGUGAGUGGGUCCUCUGGCCUCACCGACCAUUUUCAGAAAUUUCUCAGGAUAAGGGAAAGAACCAGUUCGCCUGAGCCGCUUGACUUAUAUGAGUUGGCAAGUAAACUGUUUUUCCUGCAGUUGUGCUGGGCUGUCCACCCAAAGUCAAGUCUCCUUGCAGAUUUCUACCAUCACCAUCCCCUUCAGGACCUGUGAUGGCAAAGUCCAGUCCAGGUCAUCCUGUGGGCCUGUACGGAGAAGAGAGUGGAACUGGAACCAACAGUCAAGAGCAGGCAGACAAAUGUUGCUGAGACCAGACGUUGUGUUUCGUGGACAAUAGAUUUCUGGUAUCUGAGUGAGAAAGACCCUUGGCCCUUUCUAGCUCUCAUCUUUGAGCUUGAGUUUCCACAGAUGGAGAUGGGGAGCACACCUUGCUAUCAGGACCAGCAAAUUUCCUCAGCGAUUCCUUCCAUCUCUCUAGAAACCAACUUCUCUACUUCUCCUGUGAUGCCAGGGGAAAGCCGGGCAAUUCGGACUUUGCCUUCUCUGAGCUGCAGUCUUUCCGGCCAACAUGGACACCUUUCGUCAAAGCUGAUGUGGCUCAGCACCAAGUUCAGGCUGGAGGCUUCUUGUUCACUGGCAGUGCCACCAAGAUCUCCUCUGUUCCCUGUCUGUAUAAAGUCACUUGUUUUCUGGGGGGUGGUUAAUUUGUUGAAACUUAAGUGAAGAGUUUGGGUAAUUGGGAGGGAGUUCUUGAUACAAAUCUGCACUAGGUAAGGUGCGUUCCAAGACGCUUCUGCCCUUUAGUCUCAUGGAUGGCUCUGGUUCCCGGUUCCUCUAUUGCUUUAUUGGCACAGGUUUCAUCCAGAAGGUCGCAUCACAGAAGCUGAAGUUCACUCACCAAGGGUGAAAACAAUCCACAUUUCUUUGUGAGUAGAGACUAAAGUAUGUUGCCUUUAUGCAGCCCACUGACACUUCAAAGUCAUUACUGAUCCUUCUGAUUGGUUGGAUCACAUAAGAUUUGCAGAAGAUAGGGGUCAUUAUGUUGUCUGCCCAGUGAAAACCUGAGACCUGAGAUACUUAGAAAUACCUGUGCUCAAGCCCAUGUUCCUUCACCAAGUGACAUGACAGUGACCAUCACUGGCCUGGUUGCUAGUCAAAAACUCAACUUGUGAAACUUAACCGUAACUGCGAUGCCUUCUUCCCCUUCCACAUACACUAGGGCCCACUGCCCAGGACAUUCAUUUGAGGUCCCUUCAUGGCGGGAGGGGUGCGAAAGACCUAGAUGAAUGGUUUCAGGGUCAAUCUGCUGAGUAUUGGCACUUGAAAACAAGUGACGGCUUUGAGGAUUCCAAAAGAGUGACUCUAAUUGAUGACAUUCUCAAAAUCAAGACUCUCAGGGAAAGAGAAGCUGAUCGGGUUCUCUCCCAGGAGUUCGUUCUGAGGCGAGCCAUGUCACUCACCCAGUGAGACAUGUACUCAUGAAUGUCUGCUCACUCCUGGGAGUGUUAAUGUGCUGUAGCUUUUGGUGUGAAGUAUUCCAUGUCAAAGUCGCGUUUGCCAUAUGUAUUUUUUCAUUCCUCUUGUUGCUGUGGGGGUUGGAAAGAGAAGGGAUUAUAUUGGACCCCUUAAGGGUAGGCUCCUGAAAUGGAGUCUAUUCCUUGUUAUACUGGUUCCCUGUUCUGUGCAAAAUGUCUAUGGCGGAAUAGUAUUCCAUUGUAUGUAUGUACCACAUUUUCUUUACCCACUGAUCUGUUGAUGGACACUGAGCCUGUUCCGUGUGUCGGCUGUUGUGAAGAGUGCGCCAUUGAACACCGGGGUGCAGACACGGCUUUGAGACAGUGAUUUCGUUUCCAUUGGCUGUACACCCAGGGCUGGGAUUGCCGGAUCAUGGGGUGGCUCUCCUUUUACUUCUUGAGGAACUUGCAUACUGUUUUCCAUUGUGGCUGAAGCAGUUUACAUGGGGGAACACUUCUUGAACUAAAGAGAUUUCAUGACUGGUUCUCCAGCCACUUCUGAUUGUCUGUUCUCUUGAGGAGAAGAAUGAUGGAGGUUGGAGGCUCUGGUGGGGAAGGGGGUUCUGUGAUCAGGAAAGAUGGAAGGACUAACUCCUUGCUUCCGGUGCUUGAAGCCUAGAGCUGGGAAGGGGGCUGGACAGAGUGUCCUCUGUAGAGCUGCUCUCAGAGCAGGAGGACAGAGCAGAGAGGAGGGUAUGCGCCCUCAGUGUCAAAGGCGUGUUGGCCUUUGUAUGUUCCAGAGUGCCUCCUGCCCGCUGGCCCAUCCAUGGCACUACCAGGGAUCAGCAUGGCUGGAGGAUAAAAGA
This is a non-coding RNA of Equus caballus (horse), 3376 nucleotides long. The record is from RefSeq and is a predicted model, not a curated record. Lineage: Eukaryota; Metazoa; Chordata; Mammalia; Perissodactyla; Equidae.